RNAcentral lists this ribosomal RNA (504 nucleotides) under uncultured bacterium. Its description in RNAcentral is "partial 16S ribosomal RNA". It matches the Rfam family "Bacterial small subunit ribosomal RNA", at positions 29 to 523 of the family's 1533-position model. The record is from RNAcentral.
AUUGAACGCUGGCGGCAGGCCUAACACAUGCAAGUCGGACGGUAGCACAGAGAGCUUGCUCUCGGGUGACGAGUGGCGGACGGGUGAGUAAUGUCUGGGGAUCUGCCCGAUAGAGGGGGAUAACCACUGGAAACGGUGGCUAAUACCGCAUAACGUCGCAAGACCAAAGAGGGGGACCUUCGGGCCUCCCACUAUCGGAUGAACCCAGAUGGGAUUAGCUAGUAGGCGGGGUAACGGCCCACCUAGGCGACGAUCCCUAGCUGGUCUGAGAGGAUGACCAGCCACACUGGAACUGAGACACGGUCCAGACUCCUACGGGAGGCAGCGGUGGGGAAUAUUGCACAAUGGGCGCAAGCCUGAUGCAGCCAUGCCGCGUGUAUGAAGAAGGCCUUCGGGUUGUAAAGUACUUUCAGCGGGGAGGAAGGCGAUGUGGUUAAUAACCGCAUUGAUUGACGUUACCCGCAGAAGAAGCACCGGCUAACUCCGUGCCAGCAGCCGCGGUAA